GACGAACGCUGGCGGCGUGCCUAAUACAUGCAAGUAGAACGCUGAAGGAGGAGCUUGCUCUUCUGGAUGAGUUGCGAACGGGUGAGUAACGCGUAGGUAACCUGCCUGGUAGCGGGGGAUAACUAUUGGAAACGAUAGCUAAUACCGCAUAAGAGUAGAUGUUGCAUGACAUUUGCUUAAAAGGUGCAAUUGCAUCACUACCAGAUGGACCUGCGUUGUAUUAGCUAGUUGGUGGGGUAACGGCUCACCAAGGCGACGAUACAUAGCCGACCUGAGAGGGUGAUCGGCCACACUGGGACUGAGACACGGCCCAGACUCCUACGGGAGGCAGCAGUAGGGAAUCUUCGGCAAUGGACGGAAGUCUGACCGAGCAACGCCGCGUGAGUGAAGAAGGUUUUCGGACCGUAAAGCUCUGUUGUAAGAGAAGAACGAGUGUGAGAGUGGAAAGUUCACACUGUGACGGUAUCUGACCAGAAAGGGACGGCUAACUACGUG
RNAcentral lists this ribosomal RNA (495 nucleotides) under uncultured bacterium. Its description in RNAcentral is "partial 16S ribosomal RNA". It matches the Rfam family "Bacterial small subunit ribosomal RNA", at positions 28 to 507 of the family's 1533-position model. The record is from RNAcentral.